This 354-nucleotide unclassified non-coding RNA is filed under the name Melitaea cinxia (Glanville fritillary). RNAcentral's name for it is "misc RNA ENSMCXG00005020444.1". Lineage: Eukaryota; Metazoa; Arthropoda; Insecta; Lepidoptera; Nymphalidae. The record is from RNAcentral.
AUUAGCAUUGCUAUUUACUCUUUUUCUAGACGACUGAUUUAAUUUUUGGAAUACCCUCGUAUUGUAUUACGUCGCGGUUCACCUUAGGGGGUAGUAGUGUCGCGACGCGCUGGGUUUGCUGUAUAUAAGCCUCAGGGCGAGGGUUUGCGGUCUCUUUGUUGGAUUCUCUCGCCGACUUAAGAUCUGGGUGCAAUUUAUUGUGGGGUCCUUGGUGUGGCGUUUGCGGCGGCGCUUGUGGAUGGAGAGUUACCUCGUGGCGUCCUUCUGAAGGUCCGAGGACCCCACAUUCCGAGUUCUCUCACAACCCGAAUCACCGACAACCCGAAUUAGCCACAACCCGAAUUCUCUUCAAGC